GUGCCAGCAGCCGCGGUAAUACGGAGGGUGCGGGCGUUAUCCGGAUUUAUUAGGUUUAAAGGGUGCGCAGGCGGCCCUGCAAGUCGGCGGUGAAAUACCGUGGCCCAACCACGGGCUGCCGUCGAUACUACGGGGCUUGAGUCGCGGCGAUGCACGCGGAAUGUGGGGUGUAGCGGUGAAAUGCAUAGAUAUCCCACAGAACGCCGAUUGCGGAAGCAGCGUGCAAGCCGCGGACUGACGCUCAUGCACGAAAGCGCGGGUAGCGAACAGGAUUAGAUACCCUGGUAGUCCGCGCGGUAAACGAUGACCACCCGCCGUUCGCCCUAGUUGGGCGAGUGGCCAAGCGAAAGCGUUAAGUGGUCCACCUGGGGAGUACGGCGGCAACGCUGAAACUCAAAGGAAUUGACGGGGGCCCGCACAAGCGGAGGAACAUGUGGUUUAAUUCGAUGAUACGCGAGGAACCUUACCCGGGCUCGAACGCGGGAUGAAAGGCCGGAAACGGCCUUGCCGAGCAAUCGGAGUCCCGCGAGGUGCUGCAUGGUUGUCGUCAGCUCGUGCCGUGAGGUGUUGGCUCAAGUGCCAAAACGAGCGCAACCCCCGCCGGCAGUUCUAGCGCGCAAAGGCGAGGACUCUGCCGGGACUGCCGCCGCAAGGUGCGAGGAGGGUGGGGAUGACGUCAAAUCAGCACGGCCCUUACGUCCGGGGCGACACACGUGUUACAAUGGCCGGUACAGAGAGCAGCUUGGCCGCGAGGCCUGGCGAACCUUUAAAGCCGGUCGUAGUUCGGACUGGAGUCUGGAACCCGACUCCACGAAGCCGGAUUCGCUAGUAAUCGCGCAUCAGCCAUGGCGCGGUGAAUACGUUCCCGGGCCUUGUACACACCGCCCGU
RNAcentral lists this ribosomal RNA (889 nucleotides) under uncultured bacterium. RNAcentral describes it as "bacterial SSU rRNA". It matches the Rfam family "Bacterial small subunit ribosomal RNA", at positions 505 to 1397 of the family's 1533-position model. The record is from RNAcentral.